This 253-nucleotide ribosomal RNA is filed under the name uncultured bacterium. RNAcentral's name for it is "partial 16S ribosomal RNA". It matches the Rfam family "Bacterial small subunit ribosomal RNA", at positions 524 to 776 of the family's 1533-position model. The record is from RNAcentral.
UACGUAGGGGGCUAGCGUUGUCCGGAAUCAUUGGGCGUAAAGCGCGUGUAGGCGGCCCGGUAAGUCCGCUGUGAAAGUCGGGGGCUCAACCCUCGGAAGCCGGUGGAUACUGUCGGGCUCGAGUACGGAAGAGGCGAGUGGAAUUCCUGGUGUAGCGGUGAAAUGCGUAGAUAUCAGGAGGAACACCGAUUGCGAAGGCAGCUCGCUGGGACGUAACUGACGCUGAGACGCGAAAGCGUGGGGAGCAAACAGG